RNAcentral lists this ribosomal RNA (496 nucleotides) under uncultured bacterium. RNAcentral describes it as "partial 16S ribosomal RNA". It matches the Rfam family "Bacterial small subunit ribosomal RNA", at positions 29 to 507 of the family's 1533-position model. The record is from RNAcentral.
AACGAACGCUGGCGGCGCGUCUUAAGCAUGCAAGUCGAACGGCAAGAGAGGAGCUUGCUUCUCUCCUAGAGUGGCGGACUGGUGAGGAACACGUGGGUAAUCUACCCUUAAGAUGGGGAUAGCUGCUAGAAAUAGCAGGUAAUACCGAAUACACUCGGCAUAUCACAAGAGGUGUUGAGGAAAGGAAGCUACGGCUUCGCUUGAGGAUGAGCUUGCGUCCCAUUAGCUAGUUGGUGAGGUAAAGGCCCACCAAGGCGACGAUGGGUAUCCGGCCUGAGAGGGUGAACGGACACAUUGGGACUGAGAUACGGCCCAAACUCCUACGGGAGGCAGCAGCUAAGAAUAUUCCGCAAUGGACGGAAGUCUGACGGAGCGACGCCGCGUGGAUGAAGAAGGCUGAAAAGUUGUAAAAUCCUUUUGUUGAUGAAGAAUAAGGGUGAGAGGGAAUGCUCAUCUGAUGACGGUAAUCGACGGAUAAGCCCCGGCUAAUUACGUG